UAACCUGCCCAAGAGAUCGGGAUAACACCUGGAAACAGAUGCUAAUACCGGAUAACAACAGAUGAUGCCUAUCAACUGUUUAAAAGAUGGUUCUGCNUAUCACUAUUGGAUGGACCUGCGGUGCAUUAGCUAGUUGGUAGGGUAACGGCCUACCAAGGCGAUGAUGCAUAGCCGAGUUGAGAGACUGAUCGGCCACAUUGGGACUGAGACACGGCCCAAACUCCUACGGGAGGCAGCAGAA
RNAcentral lists this ribosomal RNA (241 nucleotides) under uncultured Lactobacillus sp. RNAcentral describes it as "partial 16S ribosomal RNA". It matches the Rfam family "Bacterial small subunit ribosomal RNA", at positions 122 to 354 of the family's 1533-position model. The record is from RNAcentral. Lineage: Bacteria; Bacillati; Bacillota; Bacilli; Lactobacillales; Lactobacillaceae.